GAUGAACGCUAGCGGCAGGCCUAACACAUGCAAGUCGAGGGGCAGCAGGAUUAAGCUUGCUUAAUUGCUGACGACCGGCGCACGGGUGCGUAACGCGUAUGCAACCUACCUUAUACUGGGGUAUAGCCCGGAGAAAUUCGGAUUAAUCCCCCAUAGUACUAAUGAAUCGCAUGGUUUAUUAGUUAAAGCAUUGCGGUAUAAGAUGGGCAUGCGUCCUAUUAGCUAGAUGGUGAGGUAACGGCUCACCAUGGCUACGAUAGGUAGGGGGCCUGAGAGGGUGGUCCCCCACACUGGUACUGAGACACGGACCAGACUCCUACGGGAGGCAGCAGUGAGGAAUAUUGGUCAAUGUGCGCAAGCCUGAACCAGCCAUGCCGCGUGCAGGAAGAAUGCCCUAUGGGUUGUAAACUGCUUUUAUUUGGGAAUAAACCUCUUUACGUGUAGAGAGCUGAAGGUACCAAAUGAAUAAGCACCGGCUAACUCCGUGCCAGCAGCCGCCGUAA
RNAcentral lists this ribosomal RNA (503 nucleotides) under uncultured bacterium. RNAcentral describes it as "partial 16S ribosomal RNA". It matches the Rfam family "Bacterial small subunit ribosomal RNA", at positions 28 to 523 of the family's 1533-position model. The record is from RNAcentral.